RNAcentral lists this long non-coding RNA (1378 nucleotides) under Equus asinus (donkey). RNAcentral describes it as "lncRNA (ENSEASG00005025757.1)". The record is from RNAcentral. Lineage: Eukaryota; Metazoa; Chordata; Mammalia; Perissodactyla; Equidae.
CUUGCAAAUAUGAAGACGGGUGGAGCUUGACUGAGGCCCAGCCGUUGAAGGCUGAAAGUGUCUGAGCUUCCAGCAGCAUCAAGGCAGCCUGAGCAAAACAGUGUAAAUGAGGCCGCUAGUUAAGACAAAUGUAGGGAGUCAAAUGCCAUAAGGGCAAAAAGUUCAGUCUUUGCUUAUGAGAGGCAUUGGUGGGUUACUCCCACCACAGAGUAACGUCACCUCAUUUUUUCAAAUGUGCCGUCUCUGGGCAGAUCUAGAAGUUGCCAUAAAUCAUAAAAUCAUCUCCACCACCUGGAAGCUAUCCCAAUUAGGCAGAAAAGCCAUCUUUGAUACCGUUUGGCUGUAUAAAAGAAGAGCUUCAAGGCCUGAGUUCGUGCUUUUAGAGAGGCUUUGCAAACUCCGUGUGAAGGCUAGGGAGACUGCCAUGAACACAAUUUUAGAUUGUUUCCUUCUUCCUUCGCGCUUUCAGGAAAAGCUUGCCGCCAGAUUUGUUUAAAAGGAUUCCACCCCACGUGAGGGAUUUCUCGGCAUGAAGAACCUUUCCUUUCACAUUACAUGAAGAGCGUGUGCACCACAUUUCUUCAAAUGCAUUGGAAAAUAUGACUAUGACACGGAAAACUGUGUUUACUGCUCAGCAAACACGUGUGCCCCAAUACUCAGCAGGGAACUCAGAGGCACUUUAUUACGUCAAUUGCCUGCAGCUGGAGUCUCUAUUUCCAGGCAAACGAGAAGGCGGAGACACAGGGCAGGACCUCAGGCAGCAUUCUGUUGACUGCGAAUGGUGAUUUGCGAUCAGUAAUAAAAAUUAUCUCACCCCACUCCACAGAGCUGCAUGCAGGGCGGUGUUCUCUUUCUAUUCACCUAGCUAAUGAAAUGCGCUGAGAUCCAGAGAAAUCACUGGCCAUCUCACAGCCAUGCAGACACAUCCUCCCUUUCCUGCUCUUCACCUGAAAUCAUUACUGGGCGUUUGAGGUCAAACAAAAGAUUUGACGCAAAACACUGAGAAAUGUGGUUCCCCCGGGAUUUUUCAGACUCAGUGUUUUGAAAUUCAUUUUACUCCUCCACAAAAAGAUUGUGAGGCAAAUGGCAAAUGGGAGGCAAAUCUGAGGCAAAAGUGGUGAGACACACUUCCAUUUAUUAAAUCUGGUAUGGACAGAGAAGCGUUAACAUUUUUAUUUAGGAAUUUCUGCCUUCUCCUCUCACCUUUUUCCAGGAGAAGGCUUAGCCCUGCACAUAAGUAACCAGGUCAUGUUUCCCUUUGUCUAUGUACACCAAAAAUGAGCUUUCAGAUUAUCAAAGAUUUCAAAGUACAAGAUUUUACACGCUUUAUUUUUUGGACAGAAGUGGUAGGAAGAUAGAGGGCUUGUCAGAUGCAACU